AUGGAGGGUAUAUUGGAAAAUAUUCCUCUUUUAUUUUGUUUCUCCAUUCCUCACCACUCUUAUCUGAAUUUGUGGCAGGCAAGAGCUCUGCAAGUGUCUCCUGUUCACAUCCGUCAAGUGGUAUUUGGACAACACCCGUCCAGGAGAGCAAGAUUGUGUGCGCCCAGCGACUGAAGAGGAAACCAACUAUGUGCUUUGAUAUAUCUGUCAUGCUUCAGCAGGCGCUAACAAGGAUGACUCUGAGACACUACAGACCCUGCAUAAUAUAGGCCUGUAUUCUUCAAAAUUAUUUUUUUACAGGUGGUCUUAUCAGUUUUACUUGGCUUUUAGUGAAGUAUUUACAUUUAACUUUUAUCCACUCUUAAAAAUAAUGGUUCCAGUGAACAGUUCUUUAAAGGGGUCCUAUUAUGGUCUUUUACAAAGUGUUGAUUUUGUUUUGGGGGGUGUACUAGAACAUGCUCUCAUGCUUGGUGAUUCGAAAAAUGCAUUAUUUUUCACAUAAUUUACAUUAUUAAAAUACCUUUCUCCCUAGCCUGGCACAAACGGCUCGAUUAGUUCCGGGUUUGAUGAAGGCCCACCUUCCGAAAAACAAAAUGUGUUGUGAUUUGUUAGCUGCCCCAGUGCAUUGUGAUUGGCGAACAGCUUAGACAUGUUUCAGUACUGCCACACCCCUUGCCAAAGCAGCAAGUUUUGUCUGCUCCAGUAUAGUUAAGGAUGGCGUCAAUAUUGCCAUAUCAGUUUGAGCCGGCGGGAAUUAUUUUAAUGAUAUUCUAAUGCGCCACUUUGUGAAAUCAUAAAAUCAAGGAAAACAACGCUGUAGUCCAAACGAGCCAUUCGUUGUAGUUCUUGAAAAGGAUGUCUCCCUUUGGAGAGGACUUUGAGAUUUGUAACUUUGUAGACUUUUUUAUGCCCAAACAUACACGCUACACACUGACUAAAAUUCAAAAAGUGAAAAAAGCAUAUUAGGACCCCUUUAAAUAUUUUAGUAGUGAAGAACAUUUUAAUAAUCUGAAGAACCUUCUUCAUUAGACUUUUGUGGAAUGGAAAGGUGGAAAGGUUCCAUGAAUGUUAAAGGUUCUUCAUGGAACCAUCAAUGCCAAUAAGAAACCUUGGUAAUACCUUAUUUUAAGGUGUCCUUGUUACACAUGUUAUUUACUAUUAUAAUAACAAUACAUUAUGCAUAAUUACAUGCAAGUAACCCUAAGCCAAACCCUAAUACUAACCCUAGCCAUAUAGUAAGUACAUAGUUAAUUAAUAUUACUCAGUAUAUGUAUAAUUACACUGUAACAAGGAUGCCUUAAAAUAAAGUAUAAAUGAAACCUUUAUUUUUAAGAACC
This is a long non-coding RNA of Cyprinus carpio (common carp), 1337 nucleotides long. NCBI's taxonomy places the organism in Eukaryota, Metazoa, Chordata, Actinopteri, Cypriniformes, Cyprinidae. The record is from Ensembl.